RNAcentral lists this ribosomal RNA (253 nucleotides) under uncultured bacterium. Its description in RNAcentral is "partial 16S ribosomal RNA". It matches the Rfam family "Bacterial small subunit ribosomal RNA", at positions 524 to 776 of the family's 1533-position model. The record is from RNAcentral.
UACAGAGGUCCCGAGCGUUGUUCGGAUUCACUGGGCGUAAAGGGUGCGUAGGUGGCCAGGUAAGUUCGGUGUGAAAGCUCGGAGCUUAACUCCGAAAUGUCAUUGAAUACUAUCUGGCUAGAGGGUCGGAGGGGAGACUGGAAUUCUCGGUGUAGCAGUGAAAUGCGUAGAUAUCGAGAGGAACACCAGUGGCGAAGGCGAGUCUCUGGACGACUCCUGACACUGAGGCACGAAAGCUAGGGGAGCAAACAGG